This 403-nucleotide ribosomal RNA is filed under the name Fusobacteriota bacterium. RNAcentral's name for it is "Fusobacteria bacterium partial 16S ribosomal RNA". It matches the Rfam family "Bacterial small subunit ribosomal RNA", at positions 355 to 776 of the family's 1533-position model. The record is from RNAcentral. Lineage: Bacteria; Fusobacteriati; Fusobacteriota.
UGGGGAAUAUUGCACAGUGGAGGGAACUCUGAUGCAGCGACGCCGCGUGAACGAAGAAGGCUUUCGAGUCGUAAAGUUCUUUUAUAUGGGAAGAUAAUGACGGUACCAUAAGAAAAAGCCCCGGCUAACUACGUGCCAGCAGCCGCGGUGAUACGUAGGGGGCUAGCGUUGUCCGGAAUCACUGGGCGUAAAGGGUUCGCAGGCGGAAAUGCAAGUCAGGUGUAAAAGGCAGUAGCUUAACUACUGUAAGCAUUUGAAACUGCAUAUCUUGAGAAGAGUAGAGGUAAGUGGAAUUUUUAGUGUAGCGGUGAAAUGCGUAGAUAUUAAAAAGAAUACCGGUGGCGAAGGCGACUUACUGGGCUCAUUCUGACGCUGAGGAACUAAAGCGUGGGUAGCAAACAGG